RNAcentral lists this ribosomal RNA (556 nucleotides) under uncultured Entrophosporaceae. RNAcentral describes it as "SSU rRNA". It matches the Rfam family "Eukaryotic small subunit ribosomal RNA", at positions 548 to 1098 of the family's 1831-position model. The record is from RNAcentral. Lineage: Eukaryota; Fungi; Glomeromycota; Glomeromycetes; Entrophosporales; Entrophosporaceae.
UUGGAGGGCAAGUCUGGUGCCAGCAGCCGCGGUAAUUCCAGCUCCAAUAGCGUAUAUUAAAGUUGUUGCAGUUAAAAAGCUCGUAGUUGAAUUUCGGGAUUGACGUGAUGGUCAUGCCUUAAGGGGUAUGAACUGUUACUGUUGAUUUCUCACCUUCUGGAGAAACUUGAUGUCCUUUAUUGGGUGUCUUGCGGAUCCAGGACCUUUACCUUGAAAAAAUUAGAGUGUUUAAAGCAGGCAUUUUUGCUCGAAUACAUUAGCAUGGAAUAAUAGAAUAGUACGGCAUGGUUCUAUUUUGUUGGUUUCUAGGAUCACCGUAAUGAUUAAUAGGGAUAGUUGGGGGCAUUAGUAUUCAAUUGUCAGAGGUGGAAUUCUUGGAUUUAUUGAAGACUAACUACUGCGAAAGCAUUUGCCAAGGAUGUUUUCAUUAAUCAAGAACGAAAGUUAGGGGAUCGAAGACGAUCAGAUACCGUCGUAGUCUUAACCAUAAACUAUGCCGACUAGGAAUCAGACGAUGUUAAUUUUUUAAUGACUCGUUCGGCGCCUUACGGGAAAC